UACGUGGGGGGCUAGCGUUGUCCGGAUUUAUUGGGCGUAAAGAGCGUGUAGGCGGCCAGGUAGGUCUGGUGUGAAAACUCGAGGCUUAACCUCGAGAUGUCAUCGGAAACCAUCUGGCUAGAGUGCGGAAGAGGAAAGUGGAAUUCCUGGUGUAGCGGUGAAAUGCGCAGAUAUCAGGAAGAACACCAAUGGCGAAAGCAGCUUUCUGGGACGGUACUGACGCUGAGACGCGAAAGCGUGGGGAGCGAACAGG
Molecule: ribosomal RNA, 253 nt
Filed under: uncultured bacterium
Lineage: Bacteria
Description: partial 16S ribosomal RNA
Rfam family: Bacterial small subunit ribosomal RNA
Source: RNAcentral